Long non-coding RNA from Xiphophorus couchianus (Monterrey platyfish), 267 nucleotides. RefSeq lists it as uncharacterized. The transcript has 3 exons. The record is from RefSeq and is a predicted model, not a curated record. Lineage: Eukaryota; Metazoa; Chordata; Actinopteri; Cyprinodontiformes; Poeciliidae.
CCGCUUAUAUUGCUGCUAAAUCGCACCUUGGGUAGCAGACGCUGUGGGACUUUGACGUGCAGACAUAUGGUCGCUCAUCUGAACGCUGAAACGAUCUCUGUUUGUCAAAAGAGGAACUGGCCAGGUGUGUUCCAGAUCCCACCCCCGCUCGGAGUAACUGAAGGAUCUGGGACACAUUAAGAAUCGUCUGGUUUUUGUAUACUGACCGGACUGGCGAGCUAACCAUAGAGGAUUCAGAAAGUCACCCAUAAUCUGAGGAAACAUCUC